Molecule: unclassified non-coding RNA, 381 nt
Filed under: uncultured bacterium
Lineage: Bacteria
Description: contains 16S-23S intergenic spacer region
Source: RNAcentral
UCCGGUUUGGCACCGGCAGUCCCCCGAGAGUCCUCAGCGCCUUGCGGCCUGUUAGCAACACGGGGCGGGGGUUGCGCUCGUUGCGGGACUUAACCCAACAUCUCACGACACGAGCUGACGACAGCCAUGCAGCACCUGUGCACGGGCUCCGAAGAGGGGCCGAUGUUUCCACCGGCUUUCCCGUGCAUGUCAAGCCUAGGUAAGGUUCUGCGCGUUGCGUCGAAUUAAACCACAUGCUCCACCGCUUGUGCGGGCCCCCGUCAGUUCCUUUGAGUUUCAACCUUGCGGUCGUACUCCCCAGGUGGAUUACUUAACGCUUUCGCUUGGACACUGACAGUAUAUCGCCAAUGUCGAGUAAUCAUCGUUUAGGGCGUGGACUAC